Molecule: long non-coding RNA, 181 nt
Organism: Sinocyclocheilus anshuiensis
Lineage: Eukaryota; Metazoa; Chordata; Actinopteri; Cypriniformes; Cyprinidae
Exons: 3
Source: RefSeq, a predicted model, not a curated record
AGUCCGGUCCUAAGAACCUACGUGAGCACACUCUUAUGGAGCUACUAGUGAUGCACAUGGAGGAGCCAUGCUUUGACUUCCUCCGAGCCAAAGAGACACUGGGAUAUCAUGUCUACCCAACCUGUAGAAACACAUCAGGUGUUCUUGGAUUCUCAGUCACAGUGGAGACUCAGGCCACCAA